RNAcentral lists this long non-coding RNA (897 nucleotides) under Marmota monax (woodchuck). Lineage: Eukaryota; Metazoa; Chordata; Mammalia; Rodentia; Sciuridae. The record is from RNAcentral.
GCCCAAGGAUGUAAAUCUUAAAAAGUAUAUUAAAAAGGAUCCCAGAGGGUGUGGUAAAUAUGAAAGGUAAAGAAUAUCAAAAUAUGAAUAAUAGUAGUCCUAAAGGUGAAAAUUAAACUAAGGGAAGAUUAGUAAGUACUAAAAACUAUGUACUCCAAGAAAAAUCUUCCUAACAUUAACAAACAAACAAAAACGAAUGUUGGAAAAGCAUGUUGAAGACUAUCUAUUCUCAAUGACUAACAUCAAAAUAAAUUUUAGUAAAAAUUACUAAAACUUAGAAGCCUUUAGUCAUUGAGAUAAAAAUAGAAACAAAAAGUCAUGAAUAUGACUUUUUAAAAAACAAAAAAAAAUUAGAUUAUUACUAGACUUUUAAAUGGCAUUGCCUUAUCCUGUAAGAAGAUUUUAUAAUGUAUUUGAGAUGCUCAAGGAAAAAAAUCUGAGCCAAAGAUUUUGUUAUUUAUUUAUUUUUAAUGCUUUUGAACAUAAAGGCAUAAAAUAUUAUUGAAUGCAAGAACUGAAGAAACACUGUUUUAAAAAGUCCUUCCUAAGUAAUCUAUGAAAGAGCAGGAUGCAGACAAUCUGAAAGACUAAGGAGACACAGAUAAAGUGGUGAUAAACAUUAAACCUGUAGAACUUAAACUAAAUGAGACUUUAAAAUGAAAGGGAGCAUGUGCUCUUACACAGAGAUAAAACCUAAAAAUGAGGAGAAUGUACAAAAUGUUUCAACUAUUUCAACAAUAUUGGCAGUGUUUGUGUUCAUGUUGUUACUCUGAGGAUGUGAAAUAAAGCAAAUGCAUAAUUAAAAAUCAAUAGAGGGGCUAGGGAUAUAGUUCAGUUGGUAGAGUGCUUGCCUCGCAUACAGAAGGCCCUGGGUUCAAGCCCCAGCACCACAGGGGG